This is a long non-coding RNA of Fundulus heteroclitus (mummichog), 693 nucleotides long. RefSeq lists it as uncharacterized. The record is from RefSeq and is a predicted model, not a curated record. The transcript is spliced from 3 exons. Lineage: Eukaryota; Metazoa; Chordata; Actinopteri; Cyprinodontiformes; Fundulidae.
UGUUUUUUAGCCCUAAAGUAAUUUGAAAAUUACUGAGAUCUCAUUGCUUGUAAUAAUAAUGAUUCAUCACAAAUUAGUCCACUUGAAAGAAGUUUUAGAUAUACAUGAUUUUUGAUUUAAAUAGAUGAAAAAAACUGUGCUUUGAACAAACCUGUAUGGAACUAAAUAUGGUUGCUUUUCUAAGUGUCAGGGCUCAGCGAGCAGAGCCGGGCAGUUUCUGCCGGCCCUGCUCUCUCCCUCCCCUUUUUUCGACAGGUGACGGCAGUUGACUGGUGGGCGGGGCGCGCACACCUGCAGCGUGUUCUGCAGCACUAUAAGAUCUGCGCUCGGACAGCGGGAGGACGCCGGAAUAUUAACCGUUGUUGGUUCGCUCUCGUGUCCCGAGGCUUGAGCCUAACUGAACUCACCUGCUCACGACUCCCAUCGGAUCAGUCCGGUUCCUUCCGCUGCCUGUGUUUUCGCCAGAGCUGCUCGGACCUUGUCUCACGCCUACGCCCCCCGAUCAUCUGUCCGCACCACUCCAUCUGGAGCUGAGUCCGUUGCGCUUCCCCCUCCGGUCCGACUUCCGAACCUAAGUGAUCGUUCGUGCUCCGUCCGAGUCUCUCUCCCCGUGAUCGCUCCAUUGUGAGCCCUUUUUCGUGAUUACUUCCCCGAACAUUUUCCCUGUUAUUGUCAAUAAACUCCGUAAAACUA